GGCGCACGGGUGAGUAACACGUAGGUAACCUACCCUAUAGUCUGGGACAACUAGCUGAAAAGUUAGCUAAUACCGGAUAAGACCACGGCCUCCUCGGGGGCAGUGGCCAAAGGCGGCCUCUUCUUGAAAGCUGUCGCUAUGGGAUGGGCCUGCGGCCCAUUAGCUAGUUGGUGGGGUAAUGGCCUACCAAGGCUUUGAUGGGUAGCUGGUCUGAGAGGAUGAUCAGCCACACUGGGACUGAGACACGGCCCAGACUCCUACGGGAGGCAGCAGUGGGGAAUAUUGCGCAAUGGGGGAAACCCUGACGCAGCGACGCCGCGUGGGUGAUGAAGGCCUUCGGGUCGUAAAGCCCUGUCGUAAGGGAAGAAAUGUUAUAUGGCUAAUACCCAUACAGCUUGACGGUACCUUACAAGAAAGCACCGGCUAACUCCGUGCCAGCAGCCGCGGUAAUACGGAGGGUGCUAGCGUUGUUCGGAAUCACUGGGCGUAAAGCGCGUGCAGGCGGCUGGCUAAGUCUGGUGUGAAAGCCCGGGGCUCACCCCCGGAAGCGCGCUGGAAACUGGUCAGCUAGAGUAUG
RNAcentral lists this ribosomal RNA (577 nucleotides) under uncultured Pseudomonadota bacterium. RNAcentral describes it as "bacterial SSU rRNA". It matches the Rfam family "Bacterial small subunit ribosomal RNA", at positions 97 to 650 of the family's 1533-position model. The record is from RNAcentral. Lineage: Bacteria; Pseudomonadati; Pseudomonadota.